This 468-nucleotide ribosomal RNA is filed under the name uncultured bacterium. RNAcentral describes it as "partial 16S ribosomal RNA". It matches the Rfam family "Bacterial small subunit ribosomal RNA", at positions 28 to 507 of the family's 1533-position model. The record is from RNAcentral.
GACGAACGCUGGCGGCGUGCUUAACACAUGCAAGUCGAACGGAAAGGCCCUGCUUUUGUGGGGUGCUCGAGUGGCGAACGGGUGAGUAACACGUGAGUAACCUGCCCUUGACUUUGGGAUAACUUCAGGAAACUGGGGCGAAUACCGGAUAGGAGCUCCUGCUGCAUGGUGGGGGUUGGUAAGUUUCGGCGGUUGGGGAUGGACUCGCGGCUUAUCAGCUUGUUUGUGGGGUAGUGGCUUACCAAGGCUUUGACGGGUAGCCGGCCUGAGAGGGUGACCGGCCACAUUGGGACUGAGAUACGGCCCAGACUCCUACGGGAGGCAGCAGUGGGGAAUAUUGCACAAUGGGCGGAAGCCUGAUGCAGCAACGCCGCGUGCGGGAUGACGGCCUUCGGGUUGUAAACCGCUUUCGCCUGUGACGAAGCGUGAGUGACGGUAAUGGGUAAAGAAGCACCGGCUAACUACGUG